This is a long non-coding RNA of Pungitius pungitius (ninespine stickleback), 1185 nucleotides long. RefSeq lists it as uncharacterized. Lineage: Eukaryota; Metazoa; Chordata; Actinopteri; Perciformes; Gasterosteidae. The transcript is spliced from 3 exons. The record is from RefSeq and is a predicted model, not a curated record.
AAAUGUAAAAACGAUGUGAUAAAAUGCAAUUGGAGGACGGAGGGACAACAACCAGAGAGACGCUAAUGUAGAACGUUGAGGCACUCUGGAAGCCUGGACAACAGCCUGCAACACAACGAUAAGAAUCCAACCAUCAGACAUCCAACUAUUAGACAUAGCAACAUCCAACAGUUUGCAUCUCGACUACGGGGCCUUCAGGCAUCCAGGCGACCUGAAAUUAAAAUAAGUAUCUUUUCUUUUAAACAGUCUGCUAAAUUUGUUGUUGAUUCUACUGUUUUUAACUAGAUUGCUAGUUUGCUUUGGCUUGUGCCGUUUUUAGUGACAGUUCUUGCUGUAGACUCUGCUGUAUUACAUUAAUCUGAAUGCUAGCGUGCCCUCCUAUCGCAGACUUCAUCUCCGGCUUCACUAUCCAGCAGUCGCCUGACUUCCUCGCUCUCACUGAGACCUGGACCACACCGGAGAACACAUCCACUCUGCUCUCUACUCCGCCUUCAGCCACACACCCAGACCCUCUGGCAGGGGUGGUGGCACAGGUUUACUCAUUUCAUCCACCUACUAUGUUUUGAAUUCCAUGCUGUGACGGUUACUGACCCGGUACAAUUAAAUAUUGUUGUUCUUUACCGUCCGACAGGCUCUUUGGGUAAUUUCUUGGAAGAAUUGGACAUCCUCCUGUCCAACUUCCCUGAAAAAGGCCCUCAACUCAUCCUCCUAGGAGACUUCAACAUCCUGACAGAGAAGUCAUCUGACCUUUCACUCCUACUUUCUUCCUUUGCACUGUCACUCAAUCCCUCUCCUCCUAUUCACAAAGCUGAAGAUUACAUCUUCAUUAGAAACUCUGCCAGCAUCGGAAAGGAAAUGACGUAAAUACAAACAACGCGAUGACCUGCAUGCGUUUCAGUGUCUUCUCUUCCCUCUUUUUCUGCCUCUCUCUCUGCUGUCAAAAGCUCUUUCUACCAAUCCAGAAUUGAGUCCUCAUUUUCUGACCUCAAAAUACUAUUUUCUAUCUUCACCAACCUCCUUAAACCCCCCAGUCCUCCUCCACCAUCCACGCUCCUCUUUCUCAAACCCACCUCUAUCCCUCUCGCUUCCCUCUUUCACCCCUCUGUCUCCUAACCAAGUUCUUACCUUAGUAACCUCUGCCUGUCCCACCACCUGCCUUCUCGACCCCAUUACAUCCCACAUUCU